GUUGCAUCUGAAUAUCCAGUUGUAAUAACAUUGGAAGACCAUCUUACUCCAAAUCUUCAAGCUAAAGUGGCUGAGAUGGUUACAAAUACAUUCGGAGACAUUCUGUUCUCUCCUGGCUCUGAAUGCUUGAAGGAAUUUCCUUCUCCUGAAUCACUAAAGAAAAGGAUCAUUAUAUCAACUAAACCACCUAAGGAGUACCUUAAGACCAAAGAUG
Molecule: unclassified non-coding RNA, 214 nt
Filed under: Hevea brasiliensis (rubber tree)
Lineage: Eukaryota; Viridiplantae; Streptophyta; Magnoliopsida; Malpighiales; Euphorbiaceae
Source: RNAcentral